This 498-nucleotide ribosomal RNA is filed under the name uncultured bacterium. RNAcentral describes it as "bacterial SSU rRNA". It matches the Rfam family "Bacterial small subunit ribosomal RNA", at positions 66 to 543 of the family's 1533-position model. The record is from RNAcentral.
ACGCGAAAGCCCCGCAGGGGGUAAGUAGAGUGGCAAACGGGUGAGUAACACGUGGGUGACCUGCCUUCGAGUGGGGGAUAACGUCCCGAAAGGGACGCUAAUACCGCAUGACAUCCUGCCUUUGAAAAGGCGGAGAUCAAAGCUGGGGAUCGCAAGACCUGGCGCUUGAAGAGGGGCCCGCGCCUGAUUAGCUAGUUGGUGAGGUAAUGGCUCACCAAGGCGACGAGCAGUAUCCGGCCUGAGAGGGCGGACGGACACACUGGGACUGAGACACGGCCCAGACUCCUACGGGAGGCAGCAGUGGGGAAUUGUUCGCAAUGGGCGCAAGCCUGACGACGCAACGCCGCGUGGAGGAUGAAGAUCUUCGGGUCGUAAACUCCUGUCGAGUGGGACGAAUGCUCCGUGGGUGAAUAUCCCGCGGGGGUGACGGUACCGCUAAAGGAAGCCCCGGCUAACUCCGUGCCAGCAGCCGAGGUAAUACGGGGGGGGCAAGCGUUG